GACGAACGCUGGCGGCGUGCUUAACACAUGCAAGUCGAACGGAAAGGCCCUGCUUUUGUGGGGUGCUCGAGUGGCGAACGGGUGAGUAACACGUGAGUAACCUGCCCUUGACUUUGGGAUAACUCCAGGAAACUGGGGCUAAUACCGGAUAGGAGCUCCUGCUGCAUGGUGGGGGUUGGAAAGUUUCGGCGGUUGGGGAUGGACUCGCGGCUUAUCAGCUUGUUGGUGGGGUAGUGGCUUACCAAGGCUUUGACGGGUAGCCGGCCUGAGAGGGUGACCGGCCACAUUGGGACUGAGAUACGGCCCAGACUCCUACGGGAGGCAGCAGUGGGGAAUAUUGCACAAUGGGCGGAAGCAUGAUGCAGCAACGCCGCGUGCGGGAUGACGGCCUUCGGGUUGUAAACCGCUUUCGCCUGUGACGAAGCGUGAGUGACGGUAAUGGGUAAAGAGGCACCGGCUAACUACGUG
This 468-nucleotide ribosomal RNA is filed under the name uncultured bacterium. Its description in RNAcentral is "partial 16S ribosomal RNA". It matches the Rfam family "Bacterial small subunit ribosomal RNA", at positions 28 to 507 of the family's 1533-position model. The record is from RNAcentral.